This 200-nucleotide long non-coding RNA is filed under the name Elaeis guineensis (African oil palm). RNAcentral's name for it is "long non-coding RNA (EGUI_LNC007745)". The record is from RNAcentral. Lineage: Eukaryota; Viridiplantae; Streptophyta; Magnoliopsida; Arecales; Arecaceae.
CCUCCUCAGAUACAUGGUGGGGUGACGUGGUCCAUGAAAACGCCAUUCAAAUGACGUUUCUAAAUGGGCUCCCAUAAAAUUCCACACCACCUGCAUCUUCUUCUUCUUUCCACCCGACGUGCACCCUACCACCCCCUCCCCUCGGGCCGAUGCCUGCUACCCUCCACCGCGGCCUUUCUCCUUCCCAUCCGACGCCCACC